Molecule: ribosomal RNA, 253 nt
Filed under: uncultured bacterium
Lineage: Bacteria
Also listed under: 3 other names
Description: partial 16S ribosomal RNA
Rfam family: Bacterial small subunit ribosomal RNA
Source: RNAcentral
UACGUAGGGUGCGAGCGUUAAUCGGAAUUACUGGGCGUAAAGCGUGCGCAGGCGGUUUUGUAAGACAGAUGUGAAAUCCCCGGGCUUAACCUGGGAACUGCAUUUGUGACUGCAAGGCUAGAGUACGGCAGAGGGGGGUAGAAUUCCACGUGUAGCAGUGAAAUGCGUAGAUAUGUGGAGGAAUACCGAUGGCGAAGGCAGCCCCCUGGGUCGAUACUGACGCUCAUGCACGAAAGCGUGGGGAGCAAACAGG